CAUGUGCUAGACUGCGUAGUGCAUUUCCAAAAACGAUUUUUUGAGAAGUGAUCAAAUCUGCACUUACUUCAAGACCAUACCUAGGAUGCAUUGAGCAUACACUUGCGACCGGCCUUUUUCAGCCACUGGUAGACUGUUAAUAUUGGUCUUUGGUCGGUACAUGCCAUGCAGCACCCAGCCUGUUGUCAUCCUGGUCUGAGCCACUAUAUGGCACUGUGGUAAAGAAGAAGCUACAGCAUGAUUUCUUGGCUCGGGAGACAAGGAUUCGAAUCCUGAUCAACCCUAUUGAGCAGCUCUAUCAGCUACACCAUAGAAGUUAUAAUACAAGUUAGAAGAAGAGGAGGGAGGUGGUUACCUUCAACCCUCAGGGACACAGCAAGGACAACCAACAACAUUUCUGGAAUUUGCCAGGAGCUUCUGGGAAAAUUAGGGACCUGAGGGAAUAUCUAUCCUCGAGGAAGCCUGCGCCACCAGGGGCAUCAGAGGGUGCCAAUACUGUUGGUUUCGGAGCCAGGGCCAAGGACACCUGGAGGCAGAUCUGGGAGAGCAGGGCUGAUGGAUAUGCUUCCUUCAUUUUAGGUUUAAAGUGUGUCAAAAACAGCAAGAUGUACAACCUGCAGGAGUGCAUCCUCCUGCCAACCACCUGCACGAGUCUUCACGACAUUAGCUGCCUUCAUCUAGCACUCUAGUGACGGAGGAGGGCGAGGAGCUGGAGAGAGGGCUGCUACAUCUGUCUCCAUCUAAAUUUGACACUGAUCUAAGUAGGUGGAUUCUAGUGUUUUAAAUCUUAUCGCUCUUAACUCUGUUUAUGUCUUAUGUCACCUGUGCUUUCUGGGCCACCAGAGCGGCCCCUGGCUGUGUCUCCACAAACAGGUUUUUCUCCAUCAGUGUAGGAUUCUGUUCUCAGCAGAAUUCACCUGCUAUUACUGUUCUCCGUCAGCUAGUUUGUUAUUUUGGCCAUGUUCAGGCCUGUUCUGAUGCUUGUGUUCUUUUACUCUCCCACUAAUUUAAGGAAUUAACAUGUCACCGAUGAUGGUAAGUGUUUUCUUCUUUUGCAGGCUUUUUUUCAGGCUGUCAUUCAAGGAUUUGGCAUGUGAGAUUCCUAUCUUGGAUAGGUUCACUUGUCACAUCUUUGACUGACAGGCAGUGUGCUUACUAUAUAUUGAUAUUGUUUCCAUGAUUUACCUGUUUUCCUAAAGGCAUUGUGUAUUUCUCAUACAAAUGAUUUGAUUCAUAAUUUAAACAGGGUGUUUUCAGACUGUACUCUGUAUAUUGUACUGUAGUUAGAGAGACCGCAGGUAAAGACACAUUGUGAAACAUAAACAAACUUGACUGGGUGAAGAAAAUGACACUGAAUUGGUUUUACAGCACACAAGACGAAGCCAACAGCUACUGUUUCCAGACCUGCCAAGCCUGAUCACCCCUCUGUGAUUGUUGCUUCUGUUAAAGGUGAUUCAAUUCGCAAAUGUUAUGUGACCAAAAUGUUCUUACAGACACGGCGAAUGCCCCGCUGCCAGGCCAUCGCCAGACAGCUCAGGAUAGAAGGGCAGGCGCCCAAUUUGUUGAGGAUGUUGUCCUCCUAUACUACCAGUGUACCUCACAUAUGUUUCAGUUUCAUUCUGACAAAUCCAAUUCCAAUUCCAUUAUUAUUUCCAUAUAUAUAUAUAUAUAUCCUUACAGAUGCUGGUGGCUGU
Molecule: long non-coding RNA, 1694 nt
Organism: Perca fluviatilis (European perch)
Lineage: Eukaryota; Metazoa; Chordata; Actinopteri; Perciformes; Percidae
Exons: 3
Source: RefSeq, a predicted model, not a curated record